Molecule: ribosomal RNA, 234 nt
Filed under: uncultured bacterium
Lineage: Bacteria
Description: partial 16S ribosomal RNA
Rfam family: Bacterial small subunit ribosomal RNA
Source: RNAcentral
CUAAUCCCUUAAAGCCAUUCUCAGUUCGGAUUGUAGGCUGAAACUCGCCUACAUGAAGCUGGAGUUACUAGUAAUCGCAGAUCAGGAUGCUGCGGUGAAUGCGUUCCCGGGUCUCGUACACACCGCCCGUCACACCACGGAAGUUGGGGGCGCCCGAAGCCACUUAGCUAACCCUUUGGGAAGCGAGUGUCGAAGGUGAAAUCAAUAACUGGGGUGAAGUCGUAACAAGGUAUC